AGGAAUAUUAUCCCAGGAGGGACUUGAAAAUUUAAGUGCAAAAUAGUUACCGCCCGCGUAAAGCUAUCCGCAGUCGUCGAAAUUACGUUCACAUGUGCAAUCGUCCACUAUUGUGCGCAACUGCUUUUGUAAACACGGACGUGAGCUCUUUGGGAGGAAGUAGCACUCCAAUUUCAGCGUCAACCAUUUUCGCAACGUUACAUUCCUGAUCUCCGAACCAAGGGAUACCAACUGUAGGAACACCGUAGUGGACUGUCUCUUGGAAACUUUGUAGCCCUCCUUGUGUUAUAAAGACUCUGACUUUUGGGUGAGCUGUAAUGAGAAACAAAUAUUUUGAGUUUUUCAGGGGUUUUAAGAUGCAGAGGACCAACUUCAAUGACGUUGGGACCGAGAAGUCUAGGAUAAGAGUACAACGAAUUUGACGCAAUCAAGGAGAGACUAUUCCUGGACCAGCAGUCUCCUAUCGUGUCC
Non-coding RNA from Bemisia tabaci, 471 nucleotides. The record is from RefSeq and is a predicted model, not a curated record. Lineage: Eukaryota; Metazoa; Arthropoda; Insecta; Hemiptera; Aleyrodidae.